RNAcentral lists this ribosomal RNA (468 nucleotides) under uncultured bacterium. Its description in RNAcentral is "partial 16S ribosomal RNA". It matches the Rfam family "Bacterial small subunit ribosomal RNA", at positions 28 to 507 of the family's 1533-position model. The record is from RNAcentral.
GACGAACGCUGGCGGCGUGCUUAACACAUGCAAGUCGAACGGAAAGGCCCUGCUUUUGUGGGGUGCUCGAGUGGCGAACGGGUGAGUAACACGUGAGUAACCUCCCCUUGUCUUUGGGAGAACUUCAGGAAACUGGGGCUAAUACCGGAUAGGAGCUCCUGCUGCAUGGUGGGGGUUGGAAAGUUUCGGCGGUUGGGGAUGGACUCGCGGCUUAUCAGCUUGUUGGUGGGGUAGUGGCUUACCAAGGCUUUGACGGGUAGCCGGCCUGAGAGGGUGACCGGCCACAUUGGGACUGAGAUACGGACCAGAAUCCUACGGGAGGCAGCAGUGGGGAAUAUUGCACAAUGGGCGGAAGCCUGAUGCAGCAACGCCGCGUGCGGGAUGACGGCCUUCGGGUUGUAAACCGCUUUCGCCUGUGACGAAGCGUGAGUGACGGUAAUGGGUAAAGAAGCACCGGCUAACUACGUG